This 348-nucleotide ribosomal RNA is filed under the name uncultured bacterium. RNAcentral describes it as "bacterial SSU rRNA". It matches the Rfam family "Bacterial small subunit ribosomal RNA", at positions 917 to 1264 of the family's 1533-position model. The record is from RNAcentral.
GGACCCGCACAAGCGGUGGAGCAUGUGGUUUAAUUCGAUGCAACGCGAAAAAACCUUACCUACACUUGACAUACUUCGAAUUUUCUAGAGAUAGAUUAGUGCCUUCGGGAGCGAAGAUACAGGUGCUGCAUGGCUGUCGUCAGCUCGUGUCGUGAGAUGUUGGGUUAAGUCCUAUAACGAGCGCAACCCUUACCCUUAUUUGCCAGCGGUUAGGCCGGGAACUAUAAGGGAACUGCCGGUAAUAAGCCGGAGGAAGGUGGGGACGACGUCAAGUCAUCAUGGCCCUUACGUGUAGGGCUACACACGUGCUACAAUGGGAGAUACAGACGGUUGCUAAAGCGCGAGCUG